RNAcentral lists this transfer RNA (89 nucleotides) under Candidatus Uhrbacteria bacterium. RNAcentral's name for it is "tRNA-Ser". It matches the Rfam family "tRNA". From Rfam's summary of the family: Transfer RNA (tRNA) molecules are approximately 80 nucleotides in length. Their secondary structure includes four short double-helical elements and three loops (D, anti-codon, and T loops). Lineage: Bacteria; Candidatus Uhriibacteriota. The record is from RNAcentral.
GGAGGAGUGCGGCGAAAGGUAAGCCAGCGGUUUGCUAAACCGUAACCGCCAUCAAAAGCGGUUUGUGGGUUCGAUUCCCACCUCCUCCG